This 933-nucleotide ribosomal RNA is filed under the name Staphylococcus aureus. Its description in RNAcentral is "partial 23S ribosomal RNA". It matches the Rfam family "Bacterial large subunit ribosomal RNA", at positions 1992 to 2925 of the family's 2925-position model. The record is from RNAcentral. Lineage: Bacteria; Bacillati; Bacillota; Bacilli; Caryophanales; Staphylococcaceae.
ACGAAAGGCGUAACGAUUUGGGCACUGUCUCAACGAGAGACUCGGUGAAAUCAUAGUACCUGUGAAGAUGCAGGUUACCCGCGACAGGACGGAAAGACCCCGUGGAGCUUUACUGUAGCCUGAUAUUGAAAUUCGGCACAGCUUGUACAGGAUAGGUAGGAGCCUUUGAAACGUGAGCGCUAGCUUACGUGGAGGCGCUGGUGGGAUACUACCCUAGCUGUGUUGGCUUUCUAACCCGCACCACUUAUCGUGGUGGGAGACAGUGUCAGGCGGGCAGUUUGACUGGGGCGGUCGCCUCCUAAAAGGUAACGGAGGCGCUCAAAGGUUCCCUCAGAAUGGUUGGAAAUCAUUCAUAGAGUGUAAAGGCAUAAGGGAGCUUGACUGCGAGACCUACAAGUCGAGCAGGGUCGAAAGACGGACUUAGUGAUCCGGUGGUUCCGCAUGGAAGGGCCAUCGCUCAACGGAUAAAAGCUACCCCGGGGAUAACAGGCUUAUCUCCCCCAAGAGUUCACAUCGACGGGGAGGUUUGGCACCUCGAUGUCGGCUCAUCGCAUCCUGGGGCUGUAGUCGGUCCCAAGGGUUGGGCUGUUCGCCCAUUAAAGCGGUACGCGAGCUGGGUUCAGAACGUCGUGAGACAGUUCGGUCCCUAUCCGUCGUGGGCGUAGGAAAUUUGAGAGGAGCUGUCCUUAGUACGAGAGGACCGGGAUGGACAUACCUCUGGUGUACCAGUUGUCGUGCCAACGGCAUAGCUGGGUAGCUAUGUGUGGACGGGAUAAGUGCUGAAAGCAUCUAAGCAUGAAGCCCCCCUCAAGAUGAGAUUUCCCAACUUCGGUUAUAAGAUCCCUCAAAGAUGAUGAGGUUAAUAGGUUCGAGGUGGAAGCAUGGUGACAUGUGGAGCUGACGAAUACUAAUCGAUCGAAGACUUAAUCAAAA